This 7225-nucleotide long non-coding RNA is filed under the name Elaeis guineensis (African oil palm). Its description in RNAcentral is "long non-coding RNA (EGUI_LNC013647)". The record is from RNAcentral. Lineage: Eukaryota; Viridiplantae; Streptophyta; Magnoliopsida; Arecales; Arecaceae.
CACCAUAUUAUGCUGUAUCAAACCUGAAAAAACAAAAAAGAACACUGAUACAAAAACCUAAUUCCUAACCACAGGUCAACACCACCAUCACAUGACUUGAAAGAUAAACCAUCACAUGACUUGAAAGAUGAGCUCCAUUAUGGCUGUUGUAGCUCAUACCUUAUGGCCUCGAGCUUUACUUCUUCUUUGCAGCAGACUUGGUGACCUUGGCACCACUAGGGUCCUUCUUCUCAACACUCUUGAUGACUCCCACAGCCACCGUCUGUCUCAUGUCUCUGACAGCAAAACGACCAAGAGGAGGAUACUGAGAGAAAGUCUCAACCACCAUAGGCUUGGUGGGAAUCAUCUUCACAAAUCCAGCAUCACCAUUCUUAAGGAACUUAGGCUCCUUCUCAAGCUCCUUGCCAGAUCGCCUGUCAAUCUUGGUGAGGAUCUCAGCGAAUUUGACAGCAAUGUGAGAGGUGUGGCAAUCAAGCACAGGGGCAUAACCAUUACCAAUCUGACCCGGGUGAUUCAUGAUGAUGACCUGAGAAGUGAAGCUGGCAGCCUCCUUUGCAGGAUCAUCCUUUGAGUUGGAGGCAACAAAACCACGCUUGAGAUCUUUGACAGCAACAUUCUUAACGUUAAAUCCUACAUUGUCACCAGGGAGAGCCUCUUGCAAGGCUUCAUGGUGCAUCUCAACAGAUUUAACUUCAGUAGUCAGUCCACUUGGCCCAAAGGUGACAACCAUACCAGGCUUGAGGAUACCAGUCUCAACACGUCCAACGGGGACAGUACCAAUGCCACCAAUCUUGUAGACAUCCUGAAGUGGGAGGCGAAGGGGCUUAUCGGAGGGCCUCUUGGGCUCCUGGAUCAUGUCAAGAGCCUCAAGAAGUGUUGGGCCCUUGUACCAAUCUAAGUUUGUGGACCUCUCGAUCAUGUUGUCACCUUCAAAACCGGAGAUGGGAACAAAAGGAAUCUUCUCAGGAUUGUAACCUACCUUCUUCAGGUAGGAGGACACUUCUUUAACAAUUUCAUCAUACCUUGCCUUGGAGUACUUUGGUGUAGUUGCAUCCAUCUACCAAAAUUCCAACAACACCAAGAUAAUUUUUUUUUCAAAAAAAGAAACAUAUUAGAGCAGUUUCAGAAUGACUCUCAACUAUCUAUGGGUCAUAAUGUAGGCAGAGAUAUUUGAAACACUUUUAAGGACAACCAUUCCAGAAAGGGACACUGGAAGCCAAUUUGGAAUUUGGAUAAGCAUCUAUACACAUGCAUAUGCAGGGAUAGAAAGGAUGGCUACAAGGUAGCAGAAAAUGUGCUGUUUGAAAGCAAAUUCAGACCAACGACAAAAUCAGAUAAUUGGACUUUGGUGAGAAAAAAGGGAAAUAAUUUGUGAGGAAAGAUGUAAUGAGAGGUUGAAACCAGAAAAUAAUAUAUCUAAGCUGUAAACCAUCGAGCCAAACAAACCAAAAUUAUGAUCAGUCAACAUUAGCAUACCCAAAAAAUUCUGAAAAAUGAAAAAUUGAACUAAACAUCAUAAAACCACACACACACAGAGAGAGAGAGAGAGAGAGAGAGAGCAGCAAAGAGCAUUCACGAUAAGAUCAAGGAUAACUACUGCUUUCAAAAAGCAUAUGGGAGAAGGAACAACAAGUUGGUUUCAGACUUCUUACCUUGUUGCAACAGCAAAUCAUCUGCUUCACACCAAGGGUAAAGGCAAGCAAAGCAUGCUCACGGGUCUGCCCAUCCUUAGAUAUACCAGCCUCAAAACCACCAGUAGUGGAGUCAAUAAUAAGGACAGCACAGUCAGCCUGGGAGGUUCCUGUGAUCAUGUUCUUAAUGAAGUCACGAUGACCAGGUGCAUCAAUGACUGUGCAGUAGUACUUGGUGGUCUCAAACUUCCACAGAGCAAUAUCAAUGGUGAUACCACGCUCACGCUCAGCCUUCAGCUUGUCCAAAACCCAUGCAUACUUGAAAGACCUCUUGUUCAUCUCCGCAGCCUCCUUUUCAAAUCUCUCAAUCACACGCUUAUCAAUUCCACCAAGCUUGUAAAUGAGAUGCCCGGUGGUGGUCGACUUGCCAGAGUCAACAUGACCAAUGACGACAAUGUUGAUAUGGACCUUCUCCUUACCCAUGGUUGCUGUAGGCAUUCAUAAAACAAAUGAAUCAGCAAAAGUAGGAAAACAUGAGAAGAUGGUAAAGCAGAUACCAAAUUCUAUUACAUACUGCAGUCCAUGCAUCUCAGCAACCAUGAAAACUAAAAUAAACUACAUUAUAAUCUUGCAAAGUUGGAGCAAACUAAAACAAACUGAUAUAAAACAGUACAGUUAAUUUGAAUAAAAAACUCUGAUAUUGUUGGCAUAGUUUAUAAAACAAAAAAUAGCUAGCCAAAUAUCUCAACAGACUAGCAUUGUGUACCUGGACCAAAUAAAACAUAAGACAUAAAAGUAAAAGUACCAUCACCUGAUAUGGAUAUGACAAAAAAAUUGCCCUCAUCUAAUAUAUGUACAGGAGUAGGGGACCCAAGAGCUAAUAAAAAAAAAUAACUCAAGAUAAUGAUAACUCCCUGUUUCUGAAAUUUCAUAUAUGCCUCCAGAACAAAGCCAUCAAGAUGUAAUUAACAUUUUCUUGCAGCUGAAAGAAGAGGCAAAACCCACUUGAAUGAUAUGCAACAAAAAAAGUGUUCUUGAAUUUUUAAUAUGUGCAAGAAAUAAUGGGUAUAUACACUAUGGAAAAAACAAUAUAGAAAUUCAUAAACUGGCAAAAAACCUAAUUCCUCCAAAACACACACUAAGCUUUUUNNNNNNNNNNNNNNNNNNNNAAACAAAGCAUUCAUGCAAAUCUUACAUAAAUAUAUCCAGAAGAGUCAGAAAAUAAAACAACCCUGAAAGACCGAGGGGCCAACUCCACACAAGUCCAAAAAGAACAUCCUCUGUAUGCUCAACAACAUAAACGGUCACCCAAUCAGUUGUCGUAUACCCCCCCCCCCAAACAAAAAAUAUGAUGAAUGGCAAGGUUGAUGCAGCCCAACAGCUAGAUCGCAAUGUCCUAUAGGAGAGGAUGGGAGAUGGCUCCAUGCAUGCAAUUCUGGAGUUAGAUUACUACAAUAGCAAUCUCCCUUAAUAGGGAUGUCAAUGGGCACCUGCCCCUACCCAUCCGGUAGAGCCUUUUUUUUUUUUUGUGGAAAAACCCACCAUGAGUUGAGUUGGGGUCUUGAUUUUGAAAACCCACAAUGGAUAGGAUCAAGUUGUGGAUUUACCCCUAACCCUAUCCUAUCUGACCCGUUACGUAUAUGUAUUUAUUAAAAUAUCCCCCUCCAUAAUAGCAUAUUUACAAAUAUACCUACGUACAUAUAUCAAAUUUGUUAGGGUCUUGGGCUUUUUUUGCUGUAGUAUGUAUCUGUUUGUAUUGUACAGAUUGAUGGUUGAAACAGGUUUUAGAACUUGUUUGAUUUAAAAUAGGUAUGAAACUUGAUAAAUUUGAAACAGAUUUGAUUGGUGGUGUUUGCAUUGUGCAUUUGCUUUGGUGGAUUGUGGAUAGAGGAGAGUACUACCCACCACCCGCAUGGGUAAGGUAAAGAUUUAAAAUCUCUACCUACCAUGGUGGAUAGGGUCAGAUGGUGCGUAGGGGGUGGGUAGAGUAUAGAUUUAGCAAAACUUGUACCCUAUCCUGUCCAUUGACAUCCCUAUCCCUCAAAUAAUAAGAUGGUCAGCGUGCAAGGUCCAACAAGCAUAAGCGAUCUCAGCCCACGUAGUACGAAGCUCUGUCUUGAGAAUGGUAGGCUCAUCGAAUCUGCUCCCUCCAACCGCAACAAGGUUCAAGCAUGACCCCCUGAUUACAAAACCAGCACCAUCCCGCCUGUCUCUGACACUACCAUUAGAGUUGACCUGGAGAUAUACCAGAGAUAGGUACUCUCAGGAGAUGAAAAUCCAUCAGACCGCUACAAAAGCAGGAUGGGAGUCUCAGAUCUCUAGAGACCUCAAGAUCACUUCAGUCAACUCCAUAGCCGAUAUGAGGGCAUGCUCCAAAGUCUCGUCGGCCACCAUCUGGACUCGAAGACCACUUCGUUCCUCGUCAGUCAAAUGUAAUAAGCAAUAUAGGCAACAUGGAUAGUAGUCGCUCUAAUUGCCUCACUCCAACGCUCUGCCAGAGGAACUCCAAAAAAGCCUAGUUCAGAGCCUCGACAUGAACAAACUGGUAGUGCUUGCCCGUGAUGUACCACACACCUGUCGGCCCACUGAACACUGAAAGAGGACAUGCUCCACUGUCUCAUCCUCAAAAUCGCAGUCUAUCCCUCAAGAUAGCUCUGAUCGGAAGCCAACCCCAAGCCACCUUCCAUAGAAAAAGACACCCUCGAAUGCACUCCUACCUCUAGCUCCAGCCAAUGUCCAAAUACCUAGUGGGCUCUUGCAAAAAUAGGUGGCAUGGAUCAGCCAUCAUCGCUGUCAGGAUGCAAGAGGAUCCCAGACUUUAACAUCUAAGCAUACGUGAGUGGGAAUUGCAAUGAAUCGCAUUCGCUCUCCUAUCUGCUCACCAAAGACAUGAGUGAGUGCCUCCUGAUUUCACUCGAUGCCGUCAGGCUAAAGCAAAUCACGAACACUCAAAAGGAUGUAGCAACCUCGAGGCAGAGAAAAGUCAACCAAUAGCUCAAUGAUAGGUCGGCCACCAAUAGGUCCCACAAAAGGUCCACUGACCUACCAUCCCCCAUUAGCCAUCUCGUCUAUUCAAUCACAUCAAGGGCUCGCAAACAAAUCUCCCUCCAGAGAAAAGAGCUGCUCUGACCGGCUCGAAUCCUCUCGUCCAUAAGCCAAAGACCAUACCUGACCCUCAUCAUUGAACUCCACUCUCCGACUCGAGCACUAUCCUGGCCAUAUGCCGAGCGAUCAAGACCUCCAAUCUCAUCACUAAGAAAUGAAUAUUCAAGCCACCAUCUCCCAACAACUAGCAAAUCACAUCCCAGGCCAAUAAAUGCACGCCCUGACCUUCCAGAUGUGAGCUCCACAGUAAGCGCCGAAAGUGCUUCUCCAACUUCAAAACCAAGGUCUUGGGCAGGAUCGAGUUCGAAAGAAGAUAAACUAGCAUAGAACUAAGAAUUGACCUCAUCAAAGUAACUCUAUCCAUCAUAAAGAAAGCUCUAGCCUGCCAGAACUGAGGUUGCUCGUGAAUCGCCUACUCCACGACUGCACACUUAGCCUCCUCAACCUACAACCAAAGAUGGGGACACCAAGGUACUGCAAGGGCCCACUGUGCUCCACAAUGCCAAGACUAUCCUUGAUCAUAUGCUGCAACUGGCUGGGCAUCCUCAAAUUGAAAUAUACUAUAGACUUGAGGAGGUUCACCUUCUAACCCGAGGCACUACAGUACUCCAUAAUCCUCCUUAAGCCGAUGAUGUUGCGAAUUGAUAUCCAGCACACCAACAAACAAUCAUCUACAAAGAGUAAAUGCGAGAUCAAUUGUAGGGGUGUGCAUUCGGUUUAAACCGAUCCAAAGUUUUGAAAAACCGAACUACCGAACUUACAUUUUGUAGAACCAAAAACCGAGCUGAAAUAGCUUAAAACCAAACAAACCAAACUGAAAUAAUUUUGGUUCAGUUCAGUAAUUCAGUUUUGGGCUUCUUUAUAUUGGGCUUUUGGUUUUGAUUUAGACUUAUUUAAUUCUUUAAUAGUUUCAUUAUUUGGGCUAUAGAAUUUCACUUGUGCCUAGUCUAGGUGGACCAUGAUUUAGAAAGGACAUGAUAAAUGAGUCUGAUUCAAAAUUAGACUAAAUAAAUAAUGAAAGAUAGUCUUUUUUUUUAAAAAAAAAUCACUUUGAGAUUGUCUCACGUUCUCCUAAACCUAAAUAUCAUCCAAAAAAAUAACAUCAAUCUGACUCACCUAAACAAAGCCUCAAAGAAAUAAAGAAAAAAAAAACACAAUCUAUACAAAUAUGUUCUCAAAAAUAAUAACAUUUGAAAAUGAACUACUCUAGACUCAAAACAGAAACCUCCUCUCACAGAGCACAUGCACGGUGGAUGGCGUGCAAUAGGGAAUUGGUCAAAUACAAGGGGUAACAUAGCGUGCUAUCUACCGUGAGAUUUGACACGAUCUAACUAGACCAUCUGGUUCAAAUAAUAUUUAACUCAAACAUAAAUAUUAAAUAAAAAAAAUCAGAUAAUUUCAAUUUUCGAUUAACCAAAAUUAUCAAAUUAAAUACCAAAGAUCGAACCAAUUAAAAAAUUUCGAUUCGAUUUGAAACCAAAACCAAAAUUUUCAAAAAAAAAAAAAUCAAACACCAAAAUAAUUAACGGUUUGGUUCAAUUUUUGGUUAACCGAACCAUUUGCACACCCCUGGUCAAUUGGAUCUCAGAAGCUGGCAUGUAUGGAUCGAGUACCAACCCCUCGAAUGCCACACGAAGAGCUCGCAAAAGGGCAUCAGUGCAAAUAAUGAAAAGAUAAAGAGACAUGACAACCUUGCCCCAAGCCAACAGCGGAAUAGAAGAAAUCCGAUGGUGUCCCAUUAAUCAGGAUGGCAAAAAAAGGGCUUUGGAUGCAAGCCAUGAUCCAGCCGAUCAAGGGUGGAAGCCAAAGUCCGUCAAGACCUCCUUGAGGAAGUGUCAGCUCAUCUAAUUGUAGGCCCGCUCUAUAUCAUGCUGGACCACCAUCAGACUUCCAUGAGAACAGGCACGACAAACAUAAUGCAUGAACUCUUGAACGAGAUGUUGUCGGAGAUGCUUCAUCUACCAAUGAAAGCCUCCUACUCAAGACAAAUCAACCAUGGGAAAAUAGACUUCAUCCUAUACACCAUCAUCUUUGCACACAUUUUGUAUAUAGUCGUGCACAAACUGAUUGAUCUAAAGUGCCCCAACUCCAAGGCAUUCCGCCACUUCGGAAGGAGAGUGAUAAAGGUCUACUUCCAGACUUCAGGCAUCUAACUAAUGGCAAAAAACUAUAUCACAACCAUAAUCUCAAGAUAGAUAAUCUGUCGAUAAUGCCUGAAGAACAAGGGAGAAGCCAUCUAAUCCUAAAGCUUUAUCCUUCGCGAUCGACCAAACCACUCACUACCAUGAGAUCUCUAUUUUCCUACUCCCUGACCAUCCUUCAAUGGAGGGGAACAAGAGUCUCAACCCCACCUAGAGGCAUCAUCCAUUAUGAUCUAAAGAAACAAAUGACCUGCCCAAUUUUCUCCACAGCUAUCAACCGCUGACCAUCGAUGUCCCUGAUCAGCCUAUUCUGAUUCUUGUGCCUACGGAUGAUGGUGAUUUUGUGAA